Molecule: long non-coding RNA, 1896 nt
Filed under: Vitis vinifera (wine grape)
Lineage: Eukaryota; Viridiplantae; Streptophyta; Magnoliopsida; Vitales; Vitaceae
Description: long non-coding RNA (VVIN_LNC007891)
Source: RNAcentral
GAGGACCUUCAGAUUUCUUGACUCGCACAUUAUUUUAUAGUACAAAGAAACUAACGUCAUAUUUUGACUGAUGAACACCCUUGCUUGCUGCAGCUUCUUCUCAAGGUUUCGCCUUCAAUACUUAGGCUUGACAUUAAGACGAGAAGCAAGCUUCUGACCCAGAGACCUGUCAGCCUGUACCCAUCCCAACAAUCCAAACACAAAAUGCAUUAAUAUUACCUACAUGUUAAAUGGCUCUACUCCAUCUGCAUUUAAUGGUUGGUGUGACACAAGGACUAUAAACCUACGAGUGUAAUAUCAUAACUGCGGAUGAUUAAGAUGCCAAAUCAAGAUUUAAAGUAUGAAAUGACUUAUGGUUGUGCAGCAUAUACAAGUUUUGUACAGUAGAAAAUUAAUCAGUAUCUACACAGAAGGAUUGGAGUUCCACCUGAGACCAAUAUGAAAUCCAGAUACUGCGGAUCUCAUAGGUGACCCUUGGAUCAGACAAGGUCUCAACCCAUCUGUUGAUGAAACGCUCUUGCCUAAAAGGAAGAUAAAAAUAAGAAACAAAACAAAUUGCAUUAAAGGAGAACUAGUUAAAAAGAUGCUCCGUCGUAAAAUUCAAGUAAAUUUGAAAACCAAGGAUAUACCUGUCCGGUGCAAAUGAACGGUAUCUCUCACCAGGCUGCUUGAAAUUGUUCUCCUUCUCAAUGACGACCUGUGAUGUUGAAAACAAAUAUUAGCACAUGGCCAUCAUCAUAAUAAAUUUAACUAGUUCAUAAGCACAAGUUAAACUGCUCCAAUCAUCUAAAGAACAAAAAGAUCCAGACACCACUGGUUCAGAGACUGAACAUUUAGAAUGAAAAGAAACCAGCAUUUGAAUCAAUUUGGUCCAAGAAAAAUCAUGACCAUUCAGGCAAACUGGUAGGAUACUGCAACUCAAUUGGAAUCCAAGUGGACCCCUUUUCUAGUUCAACUUCUAAGCCAGCUUCAAAUAUGGAAGAUAAUGCAGAAAAAGCAAACCUUCUCACGCUUGCCAUGGCAAAUAGUAGAAGGAAUAGGGAAUGUCUCCGCAUGACGAACAGGAUCAAACCUUGAAGGGAAGUAGUCGACCUAAGAAACACCAUUCAUCAGAAAAAUAACCCACAGGCAACAUAAAAUAGUCCGCCACCUUCCGAGAGAGAAAGAGAGAGAGAGAGAGAGAGAGAGAGAGAGAGAGAGAGAGAACCUCCUCAUCCCUGUGCAUGAAAUUCAUGGAACCGUCAUGGUGAUUGUUGUGAAAAGCACACUUGGGUGCAUUUACUGGAAGCUGCAGAUAGUUCGGUCCAAGGCGGUGCCUCUGAGUAUCAGAAUAGGCAAAGAUUCUACCUUGGAGCAUUUUAUCAUUUGUGUAAUAUAUACCAGGUACAACAAGAGCUGGGUUGAAGGCAAGCAUCUCAUUCUCAGCAAAGAAAUUAUCUAUGUUCUUGUUUAAUACCAACCGGCCCACUGGCUGCAAGGGCAAGAUAUCCUCAGGCCAAGUCUUGGUAACAUCAAGUGGAUCAAAGUCAAACUUGUCUUCAUGUUCAGGAUCCAUCGUCUGGAUGAAAAGCUUCCACUCAGGAUAGUUUCCAGCCUUGAUCGAGUCAUAGAGAUCCUGAGUAGCAUGACUGUGGUUAGUUCCUCCAACUCUUAUGGCUUCAUCCUCCAACAAACACUUGACUCCACACGUGGGUUUCCAGUGGAACUUCACAUAAUUUGCCUUCCCAGCCUUGUUGAUUAGAGUGAAGGUGUGAACACCAAAGCCUUCCAUGUGCCUAUAGUCCUGUGGGACACCCACAUCAUCGAAGAGGAAGGCAAAUGUGCUCAAGCUUUCUGGAUGGUAGGACAAGAAGUCAACAACUCUCCAAUACUCCUGGAUAUGGGACUUCGGAUUGG